Molecule: long non-coding RNA, 292 nt
Organism: Etheostoma cragini (Arkansas darter)
Lineage: Eukaryota; Metazoa; Chordata; Actinopteri; Perciformes; Percidae
Exons: 4
Source: RefSeq, a predicted model, not a curated record
AAUUCGUUUUUUUGGUAUUUUCACACAGCCAAAACCAGCAGCUGUUCAAUAUGGAAGACAAACCGCAGUCCAGGAAAAGGUCAAAUUAGCCCAAGGUCAGACAAACUUCAUAGAAACUACACAAAUGUCUGUGCAUCAAUUGUUAUUGUCAGCGAGUCUGAGCCAGAAAAACACAUGGAGCACACUGCAGAACAACGCACAGAGGAUUUGACUGCUGCAGAUAUUGUAUAAGAACUCUCAGCAAAGAUAAUAAAAACAUCUUGCAGCAGGUUCAAUAUAAAUAGAGCCAAUG